CACCAGCCCUGGAGGAAGACAGGACAAGAGCAAAGGACCCACGCCACAGAGCAACAACCUUGGAUGGAAAUUACAGUGACCAUCUCCCCAAAACAGCCCUUCACUCAGGUUGAAUCUCAGCAUUCUGGACGAGAGGCUCUGGCCAUACUGCUUCAAUCCCCAACACGGCCGCACCCAAAUCUGUUCGGGGUGUUGUGCUCCCAACUGUUGCCACUUCCACAUUCUAAACCUCACCCCACCCCAGACAGAAUACCAGGGUCUUUCUUCACCAAAAACCAGGAUUCAAGAAUGGCAGAGGACCAAGCAAGUGGUGGGCGGCCGGAGGCAGAGUUCACAGCAGAGGUGGCCCUCCCCCAGGCAGAAAGUGGACCCUGCCUGAAGAUUAGGGUGGUCCUUCCUCUGGAAGGUCCAGAAAGGGGCAGACAGGGAAGCAGGGACUCCCCCCUUCAAGGAAAAGUGUUGGACAUUUUCCCCAUUCAAGUCCAAGCAAGGUUUGCUCUGUCCUGAGGGAGCUGGUCAGUAAGUUCCACAGUGCCGAUAGAUUAGAUCUCACAGAGGCCGGGGGUCUGGACAGCUAGAGCUGAGCUAUUGGGGGAAAUUAAAACACAUAGACCUCACACUCUUUGAACCAGAAUUCUUGGAAUCGAGAUGGUCAAAACCCCCUGGGAUCCCAGGAAGGAGGUCUCCAGCCAGGCCCUAGAGCUUCUCUGGGGGUUAAGCUGCUCCAAUUCUGCAAUUCCAGGUUCCCGGCCUCAGACCGGUAAAAUUUCACAAAGAACCCAUGAUGUGUGAAGUCAAUGACUGGGCGAGUUCAAAGGCUUCACAACCAGGAUCCACAGACUCGGUGACUCAGCCCUCGUCUUGGAGACAGGAAUGGAACCCUGGGCCCAGUGGGCACU
Myodes glareolus (Bank vole) is the source of this 899-nucleotide long non-coding RNA. RefSeq lists it as uncharacterized. NCBI's taxonomy places the organism in Eukaryota, Metazoa, Chordata, Mammalia, Rodentia, Cricetidae. The record is from RefSeq and is a predicted model, not a curated record.